This 457-nucleotide ribosomal RNA is filed under the name uncultured Sphingobacteriales bacterium. Its description in RNAcentral is "bacterial SSU rRNA". It matches the Rfam family "Bacterial small subunit ribosomal RNA", at positions 925 to 1382 of the family's 1533-position model. Lineage: Bacteria; Pseudomonadati; Bacteroidota; Sphingobacteriia; Sphingobacteriales. The record is from RNAcentral.
ACAAGCGGAGGAGCAUGUGGUUAAUUUCGAUGAUACGCGAGGAACCUUACCUGGGCUCGAACGUAAGAUGACUGUAGGUGAAAGCUUACAUCUCUUCGGAGCAUUUUACGAGGUGCUGCAUGGUUGUCGUCAGCUCGUGCCGUGAGGUGUCGGGUUAAGUCCCAUAACGAGCGCAACCCCUACCUUUAGUUGCCAUCAGGUUAAGCUGGGGACUCUAAAGGAACUGCCUACGCAAGUAGUGAGGAAGGCGGGGAUGACGUCAAAUCAGCACGGCCCUUACGUCCAGGGCUACACACGUGCUACAAUGGCCGAUACAGAGGGCAGCUACCUGGUGACAGGAUGCAAAUCUCCAAAGUCGGUCUCAGUUCGGAUCGGAGUCUGCAACCCGACUCCGUGAAGUUGGAUUCGCUAGUAAUCGCGCAUCAGCCAUGGCGCGGUGAAUACGUUCCCGGGCCUU